This 501-nucleotide ribosomal RNA is filed under the name uncultured bacterium. Its description in RNAcentral is "partial 16S ribosomal RNA". It matches the Rfam family "Bacterial small subunit ribosomal RNA", at positions 28 to 523 of the family's 1533-position model. The record is from RNAcentral.
GAUGAACGCUGGCGGCAGGCUUAACACAUGCAAGUCGAGCGGAGAGAGGUAGCUUGCUACUGAUCUUAGCGGCGGACGGGUGAGUAAUGCUUAGGAAUCUGCCUAUUAGUGGGGGACAACAUUUCGAAAGGAAUGCUAAUACCGCAUACGUCCUACGGGAGAAAGCAGGGGAUCUUCGGACCUUGCGCUAAUAGAUGAGCCUAAGUCGGAUUAGCUAGUUGGUGGGGUAAAGGCCUACCAAGGCGACGAUCUGUAGCGGGUCUGAGAGGAUGAUCCGCCACACUGGGACUGAGACACGGCCCAGACUCCUACGGGAGGCAGCAGUGGGGAAUAUUGGACAAUGGGCGCAAGCCUGAUCCAGCCAUGCCGCGUGUGUGAAGAAGGCCUUAUGGUUGUAAAGCACUUUAAGCGAGGAGGAGGCUACUUUAGUUAAUACCUAGAGAUAGUGGACGUUACUCGCAGAAUAAGCACCGGCUAACUCUGUGCCAGCAGCCGCGGUAA